AAAUACACAAAAAAUUAUUUGAAAAUUCAUCGAUCGAUACUUAUUUUGGCCAAUCGAUGAUAAUAAUCACUCAUCAUCAUCAUCAUCAUUGUCGUCGUCGUCGUCGUUGUUGAUAAUAAUCAUCAACUGUAUUUUUUUUAUCCGUUCAAAAAGAUUUAUAUUGACAAACAUUAUGUAGAAAAAAAAUUGAUAAUGAAAUUCAUUUGUAACAGGUACUAUGACGACGAAGACGACAAAAUCAAUGAAUUUUUCGGGUUUUUCAUCAUUAUAAUUACAAAGAAAUUUGAAAAUUUUUUCGCCGUUGUAGCAGCAUCAGCAGCAACUGCAACAGCGUGUGACGCCCAAAAUAUUCAAAUUCUGUAAAAAUUUUUGCUUGAAUCUUUAUUUCAACAACAACGACAACAA
Molecule: non-coding RNA, 405 nt
Organism: Dermatophagoides farinae (American house dust mite)
Lineage: Eukaryota; Metazoa; Arthropoda; Arachnida; Sarcoptiformes; Pyroglyphidae
Source: RefSeq, a predicted model, not a curated record